UUUGGCAUGUAGAUUGAAGACUCGUAGAUGUCGUCAUAAGAAGAGUAGAUCAAAUGGAGGAGAGUCAGGUCAAAAGAGGUAGAAGAAGACCUAGGAAAAUUAUAAAAGAAACCAUUACAAUUAAUUUAUAGAUCAAUGAGUUUGAUCCAAAUAUGGUGUAUGAUAGAACAUUAUGGUGUAAUUUUAUCCGUAUAGCCGACCCACUUGAUAGGAUAAGGUUUAGUUGUUGUUGAUGUUGAAAAUAGUAUGUAUUAAAUGUAGAUAUUAUUUAGCAAUUAUUAAGCCUUCAAAUAAUAAAGUAAUAUUGAAUUCUAACACAAAUAUAAUUACUUUUGAAUAUUCUGACUCUGAUAAUUUGAAGUUCGACCGUGAAGUAAUUAAGUAUACCCUAACACCUAACAUAUAAUUGUUUCAUCCCACAAUCAAACGCGGGUUCUUCCAAACAAUAUGUUGACUCUUAAAUUUUAUUCAACCGAAUCAAGUUCAAAAUACAAAUUUCAUUCAAAAUUCGAAAUACAAACGUUUACCCAAAUAUAGAAAACUAUGAUAUUCCGCCAAUUUGAAUAGAAGUACAACAGGAUUUGUCAUACAGUAUAGAUUAAAAGGUAUAAGAAUCUUAUUGAUAUGUACAGAAAAGGUAUGGACCAAGUCAAUAAACCGACAUUAAUGGCAACCAUGAUCUCAACCGCCACAACCACCUCCACACCCUCCGCCACAUCCACCUCCACCGUCUCCAUCUCCUCCGUCACCUCCACCACUGUACCCUCCGUCUCCGUGAUGACCGUGAUUUCCAGCUGAAGUUGUGUCAACAGGAGUCGUUGCUAUAGCAGCAGUCAUAAAAAUCAUGUUACCAUCUUUGGCACCGCUAUCACCUCUAUAUUUUGUGGCGCUAGCUUUAGAAGCAUGCAUGGCCUUAAAUCCUCCACCGUUCUUGUAUGUGUUAUUAUAAUCUCUUUUCUUUCCAUGUCGUGAGCAAAAGUUUCCCAUAGCUAUAUGUUGUUGGGUUCAAAGAUUUAGUUUCCGAUAAAGCUUUCUUAUCCUUUAUAUAUAGUAUAAUUUAUGGUCAAGACCGUGUUUACAAGAAAAAUUCUAUGAAGUUCUACGCAAUUAAUAUGAGAACUAGUCGCAUGACGUUAUAAUAACUACCUAAAGAAGCAUGACUUUUUUUAAAGUCAUGCUAUCAAGACUUUAAAACAAUUUAUUUUUGUACCGAAAAAAAAAAAACAAUUUAUUUAGGG
RNAcentral lists this long non-coding RNA (1238 nucleotides) under Medicago truncatula (barrel medic). RNAcentral describes it as "long non-coding RNA (MTRU_LNC005189)". The record is from RNAcentral. Lineage: Eukaryota; Viridiplantae; Streptophyta; Magnoliopsida; Fabales; Fabaceae.